RNAcentral lists this transfer RNA (68 nucleotides) under Heterocephalus glaber (naked mole-rat). It matches the Rfam family "tRNA". From Rfam's summary of the family: Transfer RNA (tRNA) molecules are approximately 80 nucleotides in length. Their secondary structure includes four short double-helical elements and three loops (D, anti-codon, and T loops). Further hydrogen bonds mediate the characteristic L-shaped molecular structure. tRNAs have two regions of fundamental functional importance: the anti-codon, which is responsible for specific mRNA codon recognition, and the 3' end, to which the tRNAs corresponding amino acid is attached (by aminoacyl-tRNA synthetases). tRNAs cope with the degeneracy of the genetic code in two manners: having more than one tRNA (with a specific anti-codon) for a particular amino acid; and 'wobble' base-pairing, i.e. permitting non-standard base-pairing at the 3rd anti-codon position. Lineage: Eukaryota; Metazoa; Chordata; Mammalia; Rodentia; Bathyergidae. The record is from Rfam by way of RNAcentral.
GGGGAUGUGGCUCAGUGGUAGAGCACUUGCCUAACAUGCGUGCCUAAGUUCCAUUCUCAGCUCUCCCU